Nerophis ophidion (straightnose pipefish) is the source of this 4020-nucleotide RNA transcript. RefSeq lists it as uncharacterized. The transcript is spliced from 3 exons. Lineage: Eukaryota; Metazoa; Chordata; Actinopteri; Syngnathiformes; Syngnathidae. The record is from RefSeq and is a predicted model, not a curated record.
UGACUUCUGACAACGUGUGUUCCGAAUCAAACACGCUCUUGCGUUUUAAUCAUGGCAGACUUGUUAACAGGCAAUGAGGACGACUAUUUUUGGACAAAUAAGGAUAAACUGAGGAUGAACUACUGCCUUUAAAAGCGUGUACAAAGAAGAAGGUGAGACGUUGGAGCAGACGGAAGCCAGGGGAGUGAUGUGAAAGCGACUUUGACGGUAUAAAUUUGGAACUUGAAGACAAGCUAUUUCGACAUACCCCGCCUACCGCCCGAAUGCAGUGGACCUUUUACGUCAACUCUGGAGGAACAAAACUCCCCAUCCUUACCUCACACCAGGGGUAGGGAACCUAUGGCUCUAGAUCCAGAUGUGGCUCUUUUGAUGACUGCACCUGGCUCUCAGAUAAAUCUUACCUGACAUUGGUUAACACGAGUUUGAGGAUGACAGCCCGCCACUCCAAAUUCCCUUCCGCCCGCCGAGAGGGUCAAGGUCAAGGUCAUUAAGCGCAAGUGGACGGAGCCCAGGUGGACCGGUCCCUUUAAGGUCGUGGAACGGACGUCCCACGCCCUUCGACUGGCUGGUAAAAGGGACACCUGGUACCACCUCUCCCUUUGCACUCCUGCUGAAGGACCUGACAGAUCUCCAGCAGAUGUCACUGCCGACAUCGCCACAUUACCUGCCCCUCUCGACCCUCUAGCAGCGCCUUUUGAGCCUGAGGAAUCUGAAGAACGGGAGCAGGCAGAAGACUCACUGUUAGACACCAAAGGGGGUGAUGUGCUGUUAACCUCUCCACCCAGGUCAUAGAAGAACGAGGCUUGAGUAACUUACACACAUAGUCUAACAGCCCAGAAGAAGACGCAGAGAGAAAGAUCUCCCCAAGUUGAGCUGCCGUCUACCAGACCUGCUCAACUGCUGUUUCAUAUAUCCAAAGCUAUCAUUACUUGAGAUCAACCUAUGUACUCGAUGUUAUAUAACUUCUCUGACUUGUUUUCAGCAUAACUAUUGGUGUCGCUACAAUAAGUGAAAAGUUUGAUGUUUAUCCCCGUUUAAUUACCUAAAUUACUCAGAUUUUAAUAGACGAAAGGCAGGAUGUUACACCCAGCAGUAUUCACUGGUGGACUGGUACUUAGGCUUGUUCUACUGUCCUUGUGCCUCAGUCCUUCCUUCCUGACGACAGUGACUGACAAGUGUCUUAGAACAUAUGGCGUACUUGAAAUAGACUGGAUCAGGGGGGACCGCAAGACUUAUUUUUUUGACCUAUGCAGUGUGAUUGAUUGCGGGGGACAUAGUAGCUAUUACUGUGGUUGUAACGUCUAUCUUUGUUACGACUCAACCGUGGACUAUUGGUGUCGGAAGCAGACAACAUACUCUAUUGGGUGGACUCAGGUAACCCACUACACAGGGCAUUGGAAUCCCACUGGCCCCUAUUCUUACAUCAAAACUACUCAGGAAGGGAUGACCUUCAUUGAGGAACUUUGAUCGUUUCCAGAACCCCAUUGCCCUUACAAAUGCCCACGUGGGUGUCAUGCCCAAUUGGACCAGUCCGUUUUAUGUUGUGUUAGGGGUUGACCAGACUGGUACAGAAUCGAAAGGGAUUAUCAAAAAUAAUGUCCUCGAGAGGGCACCAAAAUAUUGGUGACUAUGUGGCUUGUUCCGCUGGGCGUCCUUUUCCCCACACUUACCCCGCCCCUUUUAAGUUGACUGACACAAAUGGCUCAAACUGUCUUAUCUCCUUGUUUUCUGAACCCACGCCGCCAGGGUGCGAUUCGUUGGCUAGUGUGUACCCUCCUGUUGGCAAUUUCACCCAACUUCUUCCCUUUGUGGCCCAAAAGAUGAAUUACACGUGUUUUCAAUUCACAGGACCCUCUUCUUCCCCCCAACAAAUUGGGUGACAGUGACCCUUCCUGAGUGCACCACACUGAUAGAUGGCUCCAAAAUAGGCCCUUGGGCACGGGCUGACUUGUUCUGGUAUUGUGGGGAACACAGAUUGUACUAUAGAAUCCCGAUGUCAGCCAUCCGGGCUUUGUGCUAAGGUUAGACUAGUGACCCCUCUCAACCUAGUGGGUACCAAAUUAACACCCCUUGGAACUCCUGUUUCCACGGCCUCUUUAACUUCCCGCCAACACCGUCAUGUUCUAUCUAGGAGGAGUGUAACGGGCUCCUUUGAUUUGAUGAGAAACCCUGAUGGUGUUUACUUUGAUGCGAUAGGGCAACCUAGAGGGAUCCCCUCACAACAUAAAGUGUGGUGUGAAUCCUGUGCAGGUUUCGAGAACCUUCUUAACAUUGGUGCUAUUUUCCCUGUGACUGCUACUAAAAAUGUAGAAUGCAUUAACUAUGGUUUUUAUAAUCUAAUGAGACUGACCAACAUGACUCGUGAUGAUAUUGAGGAACAAUUUGCCCCGACCUCCCUCAGGCGAUCCAUUGCUUUGUCUCUGAAGGGGGUCGAGUAAAGUGGUGACUUUCGAGAAUUGCUAGUUUCCCUCACUGACCCUGACAACUUUGACGUGGACUCCCUCCAUCCGUCUCCUAUGUAACUAUUUUAUUUUAGUGCGAGCUUGCUAAAACUUUAAGGUGGGGUGUGCUUUAGAAGUUUUGUAUUUGUGUUAGACAUCUUUUGUAGAAGAUCUGAAGGGGGAUUGACGGAGAUAGAUAUCUAUAUAUAGCCAUAUGUAGGGUUAUUUCUUUCUAUAGUCAUAUUUGAAAUAGCUAGUGUUUUCCAUUUGUAGUCUUUUUAUUUUAUAAUAUCAGGUCCAUGGUACAUUGCAAGUUAGCCUUGGCUUUAGGAAUGUGAGGAGUAGCAAUACUCCCUUCUUAUCUCAUCCUCAGACGGCUAAGGAGAACAAUAAGACGUGUAUUCGGCCCGGAGGGUGGGGGCCGGUGAGAGUAAGAAAAGAAGCGAAACUUCGGUAGUAGAGUUAGAUCAAUUUGGGCAAUGCGAUGGACUGUUAUAUCUAGAUUGGUAUCAUCCAUAGCUUUGGAUUAAAGUAUCAUAUACUCAUUGUCUGGGAUUCAUUGAGAAUCAGCUUUUGUGUCAUAAAAAGAAUUUGGGUCAAGCCUGGUCAAACGCAACAAUUCCUAUCCAUGAAUAUGUGAAUCAAAAUAUUCGCAAUGUCCCUUAAAGUCUGAGGUAAUAUAUUUAGGUAUUAACCUAUCAAAAAAAAAAAAGACUCUAAGAAAACAGACAUAGAAAAUAAAAUUGAAGAAUGCCAAACUAAGCUACAUUAAUGCAGGUAUUUGUCAAUAGUUGGACAUAUUUACUUAACCAAAAAUAUGGGUAAAUGUUGUUUGUGGAUAUAAAGUGACUUUAUUUCACUAUGGCUAGUAAUGGAAGAAAUACAUUAAUGUUGUCUUCCUCAAAUGUAGUAAACAUGUAAUUGUUUGGUUUGCCUGGAUUGAAAUGUACUGUUAGACAUGAUCAAAUAAAAUAGUUAGUGCAUUAAUGAAAUCUUGUGUAACAAUAGUUAUGGGAGUAAUAACGGGUAGUGUGACAAACUAUUUGGAGCAGAAAUAAGAUUUGUUUUGGCAAUGCUCUGUACGAUUGUUUCAAUUCAGAAAGAGGUGGGUGAAAGUGAAAUGUUGCUUUUUCCAAGCAAGUUGGUUUGUGCAUCCAUAAUAUCUACAACCCACCAAAUAGUUUUCUGCACACAGCCAUCGUAAUACAACUAUUUGAUUGUGUGUCAAAUAAAUAUGUUAUUCCAUAUUGGAAUGUGAUGAGAGGACACGUGUGUGUACUUCAUCUUCCAGUAAGCUACAUCUGCUUGUGAAAGUCUGAGAAUUUAACAGGAAGCGUUUAGAAAGAAUCACCUUUUUUAAUCCAUGACUUCCACCAGUUAAAUUUCAGAGUAUCAUUUAAACCAGGUGGUACUAGGGCUUCAUCAAGUGGUUAGUUCGCCAAAGAAUCACUUGAUUAAAGCAAAGUGUUUUAUUUUCCUAUAUUCUGUCAGGAAGUGUUGGUGACACACCCCAAGAUGCAGAGAUGGCAAGCUUGUUGCAGGAAAAUAUGACUUUUAUUGUCAAUAAAAACAUGCAGGA